RNAcentral lists this ribosomal RNA (303 nucleotides) under uncultured bacterium. Its description in RNAcentral is "partial 16S ribosomal RNA". It matches the Rfam family "Bacterial small subunit ribosomal RNA", at positions 507 to 807 of the family's 1533-position model. The record is from RNAcentral.
AGCAGCCGCCACGGUAAUACGUAGGUGGCAAGCGUUGUCCGGAAUUAUUGGGCGUAAAGGGCUCGCAGGCGAUUUCUUAAGUCUGAUGUGAAAGCCCCCGGCUCAACCGGGGAGGGUCAUUGGAAACUGGGAAACUUGAGUGCAGAAGAGGAGAGUGGAAUUCCACGUGUAGCGGUGAAAUGCGUAGAGAUGUGGAGGAACACCAGUGGCGAAGGCGACUCUCUGGUCUGUAACUGACGCUGAGGAGCGAAAGCGUGGGGAGCGAACAGGAUUAGAUACCCCCGUAGUCCCUGUCUCUUAUAC